UGGGGGGAUUAGUGGCGAACGGGUGAGUAACACGUGAGUAACCUGCCCUUGACUCUGGGAUAAGCGUUGGAAACGACGUCUAAUACCGGAUAUGACUCCCGUCGGCAUCGGCUGGGGGUGGAAAGAUUUUUUGGUCAAGGAUGGACUCGCGGCCUAUCAGGUAGUUGGUGAGGUAAUGGCUCACCAAGCCGACGACGGGUAGCCGGCCUGAGAGGGUGACCGGCCACACUGGGACUGAGACACGGCCCAGACUCCUACGGGAGGCAGCAGUGGGGAAUAUUGCACAAUGGGCGAAAGCCUGAUGCAGCAACGCCGCGUGAGGGAUGACGGCCUUCGGGUUGUAAACCUCUUUUAGUAGGGAAGAAGGGAGCUUGCUCUUGACGGUACCUGCAGAAAAAGCACCGGCUAACUACGUGCCAGCAGCCGCGGUAAUACGUAGGGUGCAAGCGUUGUCCGGAAUUAUUGGGCGUAAAGAGCUCGUAGGCGGUUUGUCGCGUCUGCUGUGAAAUCUGGGGGCUCAACCCCCAGCCUGCAGUGGGUACGGGCAGACUAGAGUGCGGUAGGGGAGAUUGGAAUUCCUGGUGUAGCGGUGGAAUGCGCAGAUAUCAGGAGGAACACCGAUGGCGAAGGCAGAUCUCUGG
RNAcentral lists this ribosomal RNA (641 nucleotides) under Frondihabitans sp. I15A-00527. Its description in RNAcentral is "bacterial SSU rRNA". It matches the Rfam family "Bacterial small subunit ribosomal RNA", at positions 84 to 732 of the family's 1533-position model. The record is from RNAcentral. Lineage: Bacteria; Bacillati; Actinomycetota; Actinomycetes; Micrococcales; Microbacteriaceae.